Molecule: transfer RNA, 63 nt
Filed under: Polycarpa mytiligera
Lineage: Eukaryota; Metazoa; Chordata; Ascidiacea; Stolidobranchia; Styelidae
Description: transfer RNA-Arg
Source: RNAcentral
GGGUAAGUAGUUUAAAAUAAAACGUAAGUUUUCGGGUCUUAAGAUCAUAUUUUUUUUUGCUGC